This 76-nucleotide transfer RNA is filed under the name Saccharomonospora piscinae. RNAcentral's name for it is "tRNA-Lys". It matches the Rfam family "tRNA". From Rfam's summary of the family: Transfer RNA (tRNA) molecules are approximately 80 nucleotides in length. Their secondary structure includes four short double-helical elements and three loops (D, anti-codon, and T loops). Lineage: Bacteria; Bacillati; Actinomycetota; Actinomycetes; Pseudonocardiales; Pseudonocardiaceae. The record is from RNAcentral.
GGGCCGUUAGCUCAAUUGGCAGAGCUGUGGACUUUUAAUCCAUAGGUUCUGGGUUCGAGUCCCAGGCGGCCCACCG